GCGCGCGUGGCGGAACUGGCAGACGCGUCGGGUUUAGGUCCCGGUACUUCGGUGUGGGGGUUCAAGUCCCUCCGCGCGCACCA
Molecule: transfer RNA, 83 nt
Filed under: Eubacteriales Family XIII. Incertae Sedis bacterium
Lineage: Bacteria; Bacillati; Bacillota; Clostridia; Peptostreptococcales; Anaerovoracaceae
Description: tRNA-Leu
Rfam family: tRNA
About the family: Transfer RNA (tRNA) molecules are approximately 80 nucleotides in length. Their secondary structure includes four short double-helical elements and three loops (D, anti-codon, and T loops).
Source: RNAcentral